UAGGUUCAAAAACCUUUUUUCCCUUGGAUGGGGGUUGUAUCUUUCACGUCAUAGAAGGACUCAUCUUCCUUUGUAUAAAUCUAUUGUUGAAUUGUGCAAUGCUUACUUAAGAUCUAUAUAGCUGGAUGAAUGAAGCAGUUUAGAAUAAUUAGAGAACUACGUGAGGUGCGAUCCAAUGGUCAGUAUCAUGAAAUAAGUUCAAUCAUUCUAAAAAAUACAACCUAUAUCAAUUCCUUUAGCCA
RNAcentral lists this long non-coding RNA (242 nucleotides) under Elaeis guineensis (African oil palm). RNAcentral describes it as "long non-coding RNA (EGUI_LNC006606)". Lineage: Eukaryota; Viridiplantae; Streptophyta; Magnoliopsida; Arecales; Arecaceae. The record is from RNAcentral.